GACCUCACCCACAGUAUGCAUAAGCUCCCAGGCCAGGGAUGGAACCCGCACCAUGGCUGCAAUCUGAGCCACAGCAGUGACAAUGCUGGAUCCUUAACCCACUGCACCAGCAGGGAACUUCCUAUAUUACCUAUAUUUAAAAUCUGUACCAUCUUUUUACUGUAAUUUUGGAAUUAAAAAAGAAAAAAUACAAAAAUAAUUCCAGGGUUCUCACCAUCCAGAAUUAACAACUGUUAACAUUUUGCCAUAGUCAAUGUUGUGAUCAUUUUUUAACUCAUAAGGACAUAAUUAUGACAUUAAAAAAAUUAAAAAUACAAGGAACAUUCAUAGACUGCCCAACUGUUUUAAGAAGGAAAACAUCAGGAGUUCCCAUUGUGGCUCAGUGGAAAUGACUCUGACUAGCAUCCAUGAGGAUGCAGGUUUGAGCCCUGGCCUCGCUCAGUGGGUUAAGGAUCUGGCAUGGUCAUGAGCUGUAGUGUAGGUCAAAGAAGCGGCUCUGAUCCUGCUUGGCUGUGGUGUAGGCCAGCAGCUGCAGCUCCCAUUCGACCCCUGGCCUGGGAACUUCCAAAUGCCACCAGUGUGUUGUAAGUACUCUAGAGAUGAUUUAAAGUGUAAGCUGUGUAGAGCAUAUGCAAAGAGCCCAUCUUCUAUGAGGGACCUGAGCAUCCAAGGAUUCUGCUCUCCACAGGGUGGGGGGCCUGGAACCAAAGCCCUGUGGAUACUAAGGGAUGACGGUAUGGGCUUUUCAUACUUUGCCACCAGUCAGAUGUCCCCUCUCACUAGUCUGUUAAUUACCACUAUCUCACCUUAGGGCAAAUACAUACAUUUGUAUUACAAGUGCCUUGGUUACUGUUACUUGGUUACCAGCUGUCCAAAGGUAAGAAAGAUGAAAGAAAAAUGUGAAAAGCCAUCCUAAUGGAGACAGAGGUCUAAGGAAGAGCCUACACUUCACACCAUAUCAUCUAAAUGAGGGACUUACACGUUACACAUGUUCCAGAUGCAAGCUCAAAAACAUGUGGGAAAUUUUUCUUGUCUUCAUACAUUCAUUCAAAAAAAUUAUGUGCAUGCCUACUACAUGCUUGCCUGCCUUCCAGGCAUGAGAAAUACCGGGUGAACAAAACAGACUGUGCUCGACACUUGCAUACUUCAUCUGUCCACAUCAGUACCUGAGAAGCACAUCAGACAUAGAGUAAGUGACAGGGAGAAAAACGUGGCAAGGAAGGCAGCUGUGUCCUGGGGCGCAGGGAGGGAACGGCCAGCGAAGAAUCUCCCAGGAGGUGACCUCUAAGCACAGCUGGAGGGGUCAAGGAAGCUGGCCCUGCAGACACAGCACGAAGAGUGCUGCAAGGAGAGGGUGCAUUAUUGGGAAGGCUCUAGGGACACCAGGCUCAUGUGUCCAGGACAGCGUGAAGCGGGGAGAGCCCCUAGGCAAGGCUGUCCAGGGUUCUGCAGGUGUGGUGAGAACUCUGGCUUUUCAUGCUGAGGGAGAUGAGAAGCCACUGGAGGAACCAGAGCAGAGGGGUGCCAGGAUCUGACUUCUCCAGGCUGGCCAGGACUGGAGCUGCCCAACUUUGGUGUGACGAAUGAGAGAGACCAAGAAGGAUCAAAGGUCACUCCCCGACGCCUGCCUGGAAGGGUGGAAGGGCUGUGGCUUAAGAUGAGGAGGCCGGGGAAGCUGAGCUGGGGAAGGGAUGAAGAGAAGGAGGAAUUAGGUUUGGGAUGUGGUACGUCUCAUGCAUCAAGUGGGGGUGCCGAGUGGGCAGGUCAGCUGGAUGCAGGAACCUGAAUUCAGGGGAGAGGUUACAAUGCAAACACAACACGACACACACACGCUCAAGUAUACAUGUAGAUACGCAUGUAUAGGAAUGACCACUGAAAACCAGAUAUUUAAAACCAUGAAACUGGGACUGGAGAGAAGCAAAGAGGGUCCACCUGAGCCCUGAGGCACAGGAAGACUUAGCAGGUUGAGGCGCUGAGGACACUUCCACGACCAGGAAGGAGGGACGGUGAGGCAUGCGGACAAUCAAGAUGAUGUGUUUGGAAGCUACGCGAACAGUUAAUAAAAACUAAACCCUCUCCUGCGUGUUCACGCAUUGAUCUGACGUAUUUCUGGAGCACCUGCUAUGCGCCUUGUGCUGGAGAAACAAACCUGUUCCCCGUUUUUCUGAGAAUACAGAUAAACUCGUAAGUGCGCUUCCUGAUAGAGCCCAGUGUGUGCGGGUAACGCUCUAGGACCAGCUAACCUAGCCUGGGAAGGUCAGGGGAGGCUUUUCGGAGGAAGUGAUGUUGAAGAAAAGACUAGAAUGAUGGGAAACAAGAGCCAGGAGAGGGGUGGAGGUGGAGGAGGGAAGACUGGCAGGAAGAGAGAGGAAAAGAAAAGGAUUUCUAUGUAAAACCUGAAGUGAAGAGAGACAUCGUGACGCCCUGAGCGCAACUGGAAGUACAGAAGGAGGUCACUGCGACUGGAGAAAGGCGGGCCAGAAGGCAUCUAAGACGCCCCUCGGGAGCUGGAGCCUUACUCCAAAGGCAAUGGGAAGCUAGAACACUGUUUCAGGCGGGGGAAUGCAAAGAUCAGCUUUCUAUUUCAGGAGGAGCACGCUGGCAGGUCCAGAGCUGGAAGGGGCAAGGCGGGGACGCUAGUUGGGAGCCUGGUCCAUGAUUCAUCAGCCCAGAUGCCACAGACCUGAAGUCAGGGCGUGGCAGGGGGAUUGGGAAUGUGGACUCACCAGGGACUUAGACAGGAGCAAGGAGGAGAGGGAGGGGUCAAGGAUGGGAGCCUGGCUUUUGACCUGGACAGGUAAGUAACUGGUAGUGCUACUCCCUAAAACAAACAAAAAAGUACAAGCAACAACUGUUUGGUAAAUAGGCGAUUGGCUAUCUGGGUCUAGAGAGCAGCCAUAAAAUCUGAGCUAGAGUUGUAAAUUAGGAAUCACGGGCAUGUAGAUUAAAGCCCUGGGAGGGUGUAAAAUGAAACCCAGGGAGUGAGAAAAGGGCAGAGGAAUGGAAAGGCCCGGACCUGGUAAAAAAACCUACAGGAAUGAGGCAGCAGAGGAAGAAGCAGCCUAAAGAGAGAGAGAUGGAGGGAGAGAGAGUCUGAGAUGGAACUAGGGUGUUUGAGAUAAAAGCUAAGUGUGCAGUACUCCAGAAAGAAGAGCCCAAGUAUGAAUUUUCAUAUGGAUGAAUUCAUGCACAGAAAAUGCCUUAUUUUACUAUUACGCUGUUCCAAAACCAACUAAUAUUUUUCAUCAGCU
This 3251-nucleotide long non-coding RNA is filed under the name Sus scrofa (pig). RNAcentral describes it as "lncRNA (ENSSSCG00000052961.1)". Lineage: Eukaryota; Metazoa; Chordata; Mammalia; Artiodactyla; Suidae. The record is from RNAcentral.